Molecule: ribosomal RNA, 206 nt
Filed under: uncultured bacterium
Lineage: Bacteria
Description: partial 16S ribosomal RNA
Rfam family: Bacterial small subunit ribosomal RNA
Source: RNAcentral
UACGUAGGGUGCAAGCGUUAAUCGGAAUUACUGGGCGUAAAGCGUGCGCAGGCGGUUUUGUAAGUCUGUCGUGAAAUCCCCGGGCUCAACCUGGGAAUGGCGAUGGAGACUGCAAGGCUAGAGUUUGGCAGAGGGGGGUAGAAUUCCACGUGUAGCAGUGAAAUGCGUAGAGAUGUGGAGGAACACCGAUGGCGAAGGCAGCCCCC